This 165-nucleotide ribosomal RNA is filed under the name uncultured bacterium. RNAcentral's name for it is "partial 16S rRNA". It matches the Rfam family "Bacterial small subunit ribosomal RNA", at positions 355 to 511 of the family's 1533-position model. The record is from RNAcentral.
UAGGGAAUCUUCGGCAAUGGGGGCAACCCUGACCGAGCAACGCCGCGUGAGUGAAGAAGGUUUUCGGAUCGUAAAGCUCUGUCGUAAGAGAAGAACGUGUGUGAGAGUGGAAAGUUCACACAGUGACGGUAACUUACCAGAAAGGGACGGCUAACUACGUGCCCG